Molecule: long non-coding RNA, 5021 nt
Filed under: Zea mays
Lineage: Eukaryota; Viridiplantae; Streptophyta; Magnoliopsida; Poales; Poaceae
Description: long non-coding RNA (ZMAY_LNC000509)
Source: RNAcentral
GUUGGUGUUCCCUUCUUCAUGGUUGCUGUCGUUUAGUAGAGCCAAAAGGAAGUGAGAUUUCAAGGAGCAUUUUAUGGUGAAUAGGAGGGAGGAACACGCACCGAUUGAUUUCAUGCCAUGAAGCACACCACCAGACAAGCAAUCGACAAGGCGAUGUGUGCAAUGGGGCAAGCUUUCAUUCCAACUAGGGGAAUAAUCCAAAGACGUCUCUCCAAUAGGAGGAGGUGCGAUUCAAGCUAGGGGAAGAGGCCAGAGACGUCUCUUCGUGAAGCAGUGGCUGCAAAGUAAUUUUCUAUUUACUCUCAGUGCUUCCUCUAUAGACGUCGUAAUGAAUGGCGUUGUACAGGCCCUAAUCAAAUAGCUUUCAGUUUCUCUCAUAACUUUAAUCUCACAAAAGUCCUUUUAAAAGCUAUGACUCAACUAAACAUGCUCUUAGAGCAUCUCCGGCUGAAAGGGAAGUGUGCCUUUGGGGCAUUUCUGAGUUAUUUUGGUGAUUAACUGCCCAAGACACCACUUUGAUCUCACCAUCUUGGUAUGAGCAUGAGCAUGAGCACAAGUUAUAUUAAAGCAAAUUGAAGAUGCAAAGUCCAAAUGAGUGGAUUAAAAGACCAAAACGUGCAACUGUGGGCCAAACCACAAAACAUGAGGUUUAAGUGUUCAGAUAAGUUGCACUUACUUUAUGUUAUGUUUCUUGCGAUGUUAUUUGGCUAUUAACUUCUUUGUGCAAGUAAAGUGGCAUUUGGACUUAGUUUGAGUAUAUUUAUAGGAAUCAUCACAAAGAGAGCCAAAAAGAAGUAAAGUAGUUUGGAUCAAAAGAGCCAAAGUUGGGUCAGACUCGGCAUCACCGGACAGUCCGGUGUGCACCGCAUAUGUUCGGUGCUGGCCUGGUCGGCUGACCCCAACUAGCCGCUCUUGGGUUUUUCUUGGGCGCACUGGAUAUAAUUCACUGGAUAGUCUGGUGUGCACCGGACAUGUCCGGUAGGCUACGCGGCCAACGGCUCUUCGCUCGCAUCAAUGGUCGGCCGCGUGAUCGACGCCAGCCACGUCAGCACGCCAGCGGUCAGGAGGGUCACGUACAUGUUUGGUGUGCCACCGGACAGUCCUGUGCCCACCCGAAAAGGAAGGUGGCCAAUCAGACGAUUCGGUGGUCGUUGCAGACAGAGUGUCUGGUGUGCCACCGGACAGUUCGGUGCACCCAUGGAUAGAAGCCAAUAUGCGCUUUCCAAAGAAAGGAGCAAUGACUCCUUGGCCCCUUGAGGCUAUAAAAGAUGCCCCUAGGCGCCUCAACCAGCACACCAAGCAUUCUAAGAGCACACUACAACUCCGAGACUCUGCAACAAUGCCUUCGAAGUGUUUGAGAGAGAUUUGGGCGCUUUUUGAGUCGUUACUCUAUCAUUUUGUUGUUGCACUCUCUUCUUUGCAUUUGUGCGUGUUGUUGUUGCGCUGUGCUCUUGUGUGCGUACUCUACUCCCUCCCUUACUCUAAUUUGGAUUGUGAUCGUCUUGUGUAAGGUAUGAGAGGCUCCAAAUUGUGGAGAUUCCUCACAAAAUGAUAUUCAUGAUAUAAGGAAGAACUGUGGUACUCAAGUUUGAUCUUCGGAUCACUUGAGAGGGGUUGAGUGCAACCCUCAUCCAUUGGGAUGCACGCUUGACCGAACCACGGGAUAAAAAUUGUCGUGUCUCUGGUCUCUUUACUUUACUGCAAUUUGAGUCUUCGUUUGAGGUUAUACUUCACUUUCAUAUUGCUCCUAGUUUAAUUCACAUCUCAAGAGAGCAAUGAAGUGGAGAGUCUUUCUUUCUCUCCUAUACUCUCAAACUUGGUUUUAUUUCCUCUAAUUCAUAUUAUAGACCAAGUUUGUGUUGUUUUGAGCGAAAUUUGUAGGAUCGCCUAUUCAACCCCUCCUCUGGGUGCUCUCACCUGCACCUCACCCAUUCAUCUCCCAUAAGAUGAUAUUGGUGAUCGCGUGCUUUUCCAAGGCGGUCUCCAGCAGAUCUUGUAUAUGGUCGUGUAAAACAUCGGUUUGCAUUGUAGAAUAUAUUGUUCACAUAAUUAAGUUUGGAAUAGGAUAUGUGAUGGAAUGUAAGAUGAGCAAGCUGCUGAAGACCGCCUAAAUAUUGGGAAAGAUGUUACAACAAUACUCCAAAAACAUCCUCGAUAUAUAGAACCCUCUUAUUAGAUAUUAAUAUUUUUCCUUUCCUUUUUCUCCAACGGUCUUCCUUCUCCAACCACGUACUCCUCUGUCCUUUGUGUGGUCUCAGUCGCAUAGGAAUAGGAUAGUCAGGAUCUUGGGCCCGACUCUAGUGUAGCACGGAUAUCUGGCGACCAUCACAGAGCGAGCAUUGACGACCAACCAAGUCUCCCUAAGGUGUAGAUCAAGCAUCACAUUGUGGCUAUGGGGACAACAAGGUCAUGAACUGGUGACGUCCUCAAUAGCAAGGGCCAGCCACGUCGGGUUGUUGUGAGUAUCUAGGCCUCUAAGUAGUGUUUUGGUAAUUAAUGACAAUUAUGUGUGGACUAACUAUUUCUUAGAGAAAAUAAGAAUGCAAGUUGAUCCAUGCACAUGUGAGCAACAUAAAGUCUUGAAGGACUUUGAUGGAAACCGUUGGAUAACUCAAUGCAAAGGUAAACGAUAGAUUUUUCGCUUUGCCGAUCAAGAUGGGAUUAAAGAAGCUUAUUGACCAAGUUAGUAGGCUAAAUAGUCAUACUAUCAAGAGGGGUCAAUGAUGUUUUCUUGACAGGUUCUUAAGUGCCUCAUAAGCUCAUAUAGUUUAUGCAUUUGCAUAAGGGCCGACGGUGCUUUCAAUUGUGAAAGAAAAACCUAUUCAAAAGCGGAUUCUGAAAAGGGAGCUAAAUUGGGUAUUGUGGAUCGUCCGUUCCAGGUGGUCGGACCAUCUGCGGGGCUAACGGAGAUGUGUGCAAAAAUGUUGAGUUUUUGUGUGGUGCGUAGUCUUUGUAGUACAGAUCGUUCGUGAUUUCGGGCGGACCAUCUACAGUAGAGGUCAAAGGAGCCUCCGAGUUUGGCUAUGUCCCUGGUAGGUUUUAUAUGCCUAUUGUGGACCGUCCGGCCGGGGGACGCAGACGGUCUGCAAUACCUUUGAUGGAUUUGCGUAGGGACUAUGUGACUUUUGGGUGGUGGUUUGAUGACAGCUCGUGCCUAGGUCAAAGUCAAUCCACUUUCCUAGGUGAUGGAUCGUCCGUGCCUAGGUGCCGGACUGUUCAUGAGUAUGCAAAGCCAGGGUUCUAGGUUUCUAUGUGCCUCAAGGUCGUGGUUGGUGGACCGUCCGCGCGUCACUUUAUCUAACAACUUUGACAAGUUUCUAAAUAAAAAGUAGUUAUAUGUAUGGGCAGAAAAGGGACAUGUGGCCCAUAACGACUAGUUGGUUGGAGAUGUGCUAUAAAUAGUUGGUGUGUGUGUGUUGAACAUCCCUCUUGGCUAUUUGAACCAUGUAUUGAGCACAUUCAAGCCUUCCAAUCUAUCCCACUCACACACAUUGCUAGAGAUUGCAUUCUAGUGAGUUGGAGAGAGCUCUAGUGCAUUGCAUCACAUUGUUGAUUCUUGAGGCACUAGAAAGUUCAUCAAGCAAUCGUCAUCGACUUGUUACUUUUGAAGGUAUGAUUGUGAGAGGUCAUGGUGGUGAUUGUGAGAGGCUUGUGCUUGUCUCACUAGAGCGGUGAAAAGUGACACCGGUGGAAUUGACGUAUGAGUGAUUCUUUGAUCAUCGGACUCAACCGCUCAAGAGAUCAUGCAAAGCAUAGUCUUUAAUAGAGAAACAGUUGAUAAGCUAGCAUAGUAUUAUUCUUAACUGUUUUCAACAAAAUUCAAUUAAUAUCGUGAAAAAAAUUAAGGUGUGUAUGUGAGACUAAUUUUAGGGUCUGACUUUUGAGAUGGGCCCAUGUGGAUCUAACUUUAGAUAUCUAUAAAAUUUGGCAGAUUAUCAUGCUGAGCUCAUCACAAAUCAGCUCCGCUGCUCUCUAGUGAAAUAUUUUAAUCUGAACACGCUAACGAAUCCACUAGCUAUGGGUUUAACCCACUAGCUAUGGAGCGGGUUAGGGUAGAUUAUUUAGUUUAAUUAUUGGGCUAGGUUGAGGGAAAUGACUCUUUUGCGAUGGUUUAGGGUAUAUUUCGACUCAUUAUCAGAACUAAUUGGAGACUAGUAACUUACUCGCGCCUCCCGCGAGUGUUAAUUUGAUCGUUGUGUUUAUGGUGUUAAAAGAGUAUAUAUAGAUACAUACACAUACACAUAGAAAUAACAGAAUUACCUAAAUAAAAAAUCGUUUGAAGUGGAACAGUUCGGUGUACAAAUACAGACUCAUGAGCAGUCUAGUUAUUAGAUUGCUAAAUGGAUAUAUAUACAUGUACUGAACAUACAAAAUAUUGGUUUUAGUGGUCACAAAAUAAUUAUGCACUCAACUUAGUAAUCAUGUUAUAAAGUAGUACAUGUGGUGAGACAACAACUUAAAAUAAGAUAUGAUGAUGCAACAACUUAAAAAAUUGAUAUUACCUAACAUGCUGAGUAGUUGCAGUAAAUAUACCUGUUAUCCUUGAAGCAACAACGACCAAGAAAAAUGCGAUGAAUCAUGAGGCGUAAUUCUCAAGCCUUUUUUUCCUAUCUUCUUAAUAUAAUGAGUCGUAGUUCUCCUGCGUUUUCGAGAGAAAAAAACUUAUAUCUAUAUCAGAUAUUCUAGACAGAAUAAACAUAAAUCAUGAUACCGUAGUACGAUAGUAAUGGUAUUAUAAGCUAAGUUUACUCUCACACUUGCAGGCACCGAUUACCAUCUAAAAAUGUUGAGACAUCAUGAAUCACUAUAUUAAUAUGUAUGUACUGUACAAUCAACAUUAGCACAUGAUUGAAGUGCAUACGGAUUUAUUUAGAUGGCCUCCUGGUUACCCAUACAUGACUCCAUCAAAACCACACAAUUGGAAAAUUGUGGUUGUCGUUAAUCUGAAGCUGUCAUUCCAUACAUGCACAUUCUUGGGUGACUCUGUUCAAUUUUUUUUCAGAACGGCUGCUUGGCGUAGG